GCGGCUGUGGCGGAAUGGCAGACGCGCUAGAUUAAGGAUCUAGUGGGAAAUUUUUCCCAUGCUGGUUCAAGUCCAGUCAGCCGCAUCA
RNAcentral lists this transfer RNA (88 nucleotides) under Lactobacillus sp. RNAcentral describes it as "tRNA-Leu". It matches the Rfam family "tRNA". Rfam says of the family: Transfer RNA (tRNA) molecules are approximately 80 nucleotides in length. Their secondary structure includes four short double-helical elements and three loops (D, anti-codon, and T loops). Further hydrogen bonds mediate the characteristic L-shaped molecular structure. tRNAs have two regions of fundamental functional importance: the anti-codon, which is responsible for specific mRNA codon recognition, and the 3' end, to which the tRNAs corresponding amino acid is attached (by aminoacyl-tRNA synthetases). tRNAs cope with the degeneracy of the genetic code in two manners: having more than one tRNA (with a specific anti-codon) for a particular amino acid; and 'wobble' base-pairing, i.e. permitting non-standard base-pairing at the 3rd anti-codon position. Lineage: Bacteria; Bacillati; Bacillota; Bacilli; Lactobacillales; Lactobacillaceae. The record is from RNAcentral. RNAcentral also lists the same sequence under 4 other names.